UUAUAACUGAUAGAACAACUUUAGGUUUUCUCUUUCAAACAGGUGACUGUGAAUGUCAGCGAUGAACAGAGAGAGAACAACUUUGUGAACCCAGUGUAUCAUACAGACAACAAUGUGGUCAUCGUGCAUACCUCUUCUGGAAGUGACAAACCUUCACAGGAGUCGAAAUGGAGCUUAUUGAAAAGGAAACUAAACCCAAGUACCACGUUUGAAAACCCUUCAUACUCAGAGAUGAAGGAUGAAAAACCUGGAGGAAAGCAGC
Long non-coding RNA from Thalassophryne amazonica, 262 nucleotides. RefSeq lists it as uncharacterized. The transcript is spliced from 3 exons. NCBI's taxonomy places the organism in Eukaryota, Metazoa, Chordata, Actinopteri, Batrachoidiformes, Batrachoididae. The record is from RefSeq and is a predicted model, not a curated record.